CCUACGGGAGGCUGCAGUCGGGAAUCUUUCUCAAUGGGGGAAACCCUGAUGCAGCAACGCCGCGUGGAGGAUUAAGGUUUUCGGAUUGUAAACUCCUUUUCUUAUAGAAGAUAAUGACGGUAUCUAACGAAUAAGCACCGGCUAACUCCGUGCCAGCAGCCGCGGUAAUACGGAGGGUGCAAGCGUUACUCGGAAUCACUGGGCGUAAAGAGCGCGUAGGCGGGAUAGCAAGUCAGAUGUGAAAUCCUAUGGCUUAACCAUAGAACUGCAUUUGAUACUGUUAUUCUAGAGUAUGGGAGGGGUAGGUGGAAUUCUUGGUGUAGGAGUAAAAUGCGUAGAGAUCAAGAGGAAUACUCAUUGCGAAGGCGACCUGCUAGAACAUAACUGACGCUGAUGCGCGAAAGCGUGGGGAGCAAACAGGAUUAGAUACCCGGGUAGUC
RNAcentral lists this ribosomal RNA (440 nucleotides) under uncultured bacterium. RNAcentral describes it as "partial 16S ribosomal RNA". It matches the Rfam family "Bacterial small subunit ribosomal RNA", at positions 338 to 795 of the family's 1533-position model. The record is from RNAcentral.